GCUCCCCCGUGAGGGGUCGUUGCCGCGGGCAGUGCCCUCCCUGCCUCCUGGAGCCGAGCCCGGCGCUGCCCCGAGGGAGCCCCGCCAGGAAGGCACCGCAGAGCUGGUUUCAGUGACAAGAACUUUCUCCCUUUGUUGAUUAGAUGAACAUAUCAUGUGCAAAACCAUUCCAUAUGGACACUGGGAUUUCUUGAGCUGCCCAAGGCAUGGCCCUGACAGGUGGGAUGGAAUACUGUUGGUGGAGUUUGCCACUUUGAGGAAAGCCUGAAGAAAUAAAGCAAUAGAAGCAGACUUCAAGUGGAAUUUGCAUUCUUGCUUUGCUCUCUGAUGAGAAGACACAGUAUGAACAAAAAGGUUGGUAUCAUCCCAGUUCCUUCACUGGCUCUUCCCUGACCAAUCACAGAGAAUCAGUGAGUUAGAUGGGAGCAAUGGGAAGUCAAACCUUUUUGACUAGAAGGAAUGGGCACAGAUACAGCAGUGGAAUGAUGCUGUUUCUCUCCAAACAACUUUGUGUUGUUUAUAUUCUCAGCCUGCCAUGGAACCACGUCGCUGCUACUUGAAGGUUCCAAAUGCUCUCUGCACCCAGAAGUUCAUUGUCCAACAGUUUUCCUACAAGGACAUUGCAGAAGAAUCCAUAAGGCACAUGUCAGAUAAAUGCCUGCUCAAGAUCCGAAGUGGAAUCAGACUAACAAAAUGAAAACAGUGAUUAUGUUCUGUGAUCCAGUGCAAUGAAAUUCUAAAAAUUGAGAGGAGGAAUUAUCAAGGAGCCCCAGCCAUUUCUACAUUCAGGGAUUGCAUGAAAAUAUGAUACCCACUCUUAAUUUGCUGUAAACUCCUUGGUGAUUCAGAGAGGAAAUAGGCUGCCCAGUCACAGGGUGACUCUGGAGAAGGAGCCUCUCAAAGAACCAUCAGAGUGGAAGCAGCCAAGCAAACCCGUUUCCAAGUGACAGGUCUGUCCAGAAUGUCUGUGUUCUAAUGAAUUCUGUGUGUUGAGACACUUUGCUUCAUCCAGUCCUGCCCAAUAAUAUCAGCUUUGAGUAAUGUACUCCCUCUCAGGGGAGGUCGUACUGGGAGCUCCAGCUGGAGUCAGCAGCAGAGUACAAACAAGCAUCUGCAUUGUACUAUUAAAU
This is a long non-coding RNA of Pseudopipra pipra, 1130 nucleotides long. RefSeq lists it as uncharacterized. The transcript is spliced from 10 exons. The record is from RefSeq and is a predicted model, not a curated record. Lineage: Eukaryota; Metazoa; Chordata; Aves; Passeriformes; Pipridae.